RNAcentral lists this ribosomal RNA (253 nucleotides) under uncultured prokaryote. RNAcentral describes it as "partial 16S ribosomal RNA". It matches the Rfam family "Bacterial small subunit ribosomal RNA", at positions 525 to 777 of the family's 1533-position model. The record is from RNAcentral.
ACAGAGGGUGCGAGCGUUGUCCGGAAUCACUGGGCGUAAAGGGCGCGUAGGUGGCUCGUUAAGCGUGUGGUGAAAGCCUGGGGCUCAACCCCAGGUCUGCCGUGCGAACUGGCGAGCUUGAGCAGAGUAGAGGCGAGUGGAAUUUCGGGUGUAGCGGUGGAAUGCGUAGAUAUCCGAAAGAACACCGGUGGCGAAGGCGGCUCGCUGGGCUCUUGCUGACACUGAUGCGCGACAGCGUGGGGAGCAAACAGGA